ACUUGAAGACACUUUUUGAAAUUGAUGUGGAGAACUCAAAGGUUUGCAAAGUUAUUGAUAGCUAUUUGACGAAGGCAUGGAGAGGUUACAAAAGUAAGUUGCAUGAAGACUUCAAACAGAUUGGAGGAUUGGAAGAUCCGACUAAGGCAAAGACUACACCUCCUUCUAAUGUUAGCAAAGAAGACUGGGAAUAUCUUUGUGAUAUGUGGUCCGAGACAAAAUACAAGGAAAAUGCAGAAAAGAAAGUUAAGGCACGUGCACAAUGAAAAAUAAAUAGCAAAAAUGGCUCGAAAAGUACAAUACGCUAUCAUAUUGAGCGUGGACUAGAUUCGGAAUCUUCAACCGGGCAAAUUGAGACAUGGCGACUAACUCAUUGGGACGCAAAAAAAGGUUGGAUUUCUACUGAUGCGGCUGCAAAAUAUGAAAAAAUGAUGAAGCUGAGAAAUGAGCAUCCUGUGAAAUCAAUGAGCGAUAAGUUGA
Long non-coding RNA from Helianthus annuus (common sunflower), 480 nucleotides. RefSeq lists it as uncharacterized. The transcript is spliced from 3 exons. The record is from RefSeq and is a predicted model, not a curated record. NCBI's taxonomy places the organism in Eukaryota, Viridiplantae, Streptophyta, Magnoliopsida, Asterales, Asteraceae.